UUAACUAUUAUAUAGUACUCAGACAAUAUUAUUAAGGAUUUUUAAGUUCUCUGGCAGGCACUAACCAGCCGAAGCCGAUAGCCUAGGGCGGGCCUGCCAAAGCAACAAAGGUAUUGUAAACAAAGGGUGGGGUUUUUGAUUUUAAAUUGAUGUCAAUUUAAAAUCGGAACCGGUAAUGAUCCUUCCGCAGGUUCACCUACGGAAA
RNAcentral lists this unclassified non-coding RNA (205 nucleotides) under uncultured fungus. Its description in RNAcentral is "sequence contains ITS1". The record is from RNAcentral. Lineage: Eukaryota; Fungi.